RNAcentral lists this ribosomal RNA (406 nucleotides) under uncultured bacterium. Its description in RNAcentral is "partial 16S ribosomal RNA". It matches the Rfam family "Bacterial small subunit ribosomal RNA", at positions 30 to 526 of the family's 1533-position model. The record is from RNAcentral.
AUUGAACGCUGGCGGCAGGCCUAACACAUGCAAGUCGAGCGAGAGGCGGACGGGUGAGUAAUGUCUGGGAAACUGCCUGAUGGAGGGGGAUAACUACUGGAAACGGUAGCUAAUACCGCAUCCCAUCAGAUGUGCCAAGAUGUGAUUAGCUAGUAGGUGGGGUAACGGCUCACCUAGGUCACGAGCCCUCUCUGGUCUGAGCGGAUGACCAGCCACACGGGAACUGAGCCACGGUCCAGACUCCUACGGGAGGCAGCAGUGGGGAAUAUUGCACAAUGGGCGCAAGCCUGAUGCAGCCAUUCCGCUUGUGUGAAGAAGGCCUUCGGGUUGUAAAGCACUUUCAGCGGGGAGGCGUUACCCGCAGAAGAAGCACCGGCUAACUCCGUGCCAGCAGCCGCGGUAAUAC